CCUACGGGAGGCAGCAGUGUGGAAUAUUGCACACUGGGGGAAACCCUGAUGCAGCGACGCCGCGUGAGUGAAGAAGUAUUUCGGUACGUAAAGCUCUAUCAGCAGGGAAGAAAAUGACGGUACCUGACUAAGAAGCCCCGGCUAACUACGUGCCAGCAGCCGCGGUAAUACGUAGGGGGCAAGCGUUAUCCGGAUUUACUGGGUGUAAAGGGAGCGUAGACGGCAGCGCAAGUCUGGAGGGAAAUCCCAUGGCUUAACCAUGGAACUGCUUGGGAAACUGUGCAGCUAGAGUGCAGGAGAGGUAAGCGGAAUUCCUAGUGUAGCGGUGAAAUGCGUAGAUAUUAGGAGGAACACCAGUGGCGAAGGCGGCUUACUGGACUGUAACUGACGUUGAGGCUCGAAAGCGUGGGGAGCAAACAGGAUUAGAUACCCUUGUAGUC
RNAcentral lists this ribosomal RNA (440 nucleotides) under uncultured bacterium. RNAcentral's name for it is "partial 16S ribosomal RNA". It matches the Rfam family "Bacterial small subunit ribosomal RNA", at positions 338 to 795 of the family's 1533-position model. The record is from RNAcentral.